UCAAAAUGAACAAGUCUUCAAUACUGUUAGCGCUAAGAAAAUACUUCCAUUGAUCCUACAAAAACAGAUGCCAACAAUAACGACUUGUUAGGUUUAAAUGUGUUUUAUGAAUUUGUUUCAAUCUUAAUCAUCAAUUUCUUCGUCUGUUGUGAAAUAAGCCCCGCCCCCUUCUUACCUAAUAAGGAAUAUAAAGGGACGUUACUCCACUACUAACCGUGUAUGAGAUAAGCCCCGCCUCCCUACUAACCUAAUAUCAAAUAUACACGGUUUGCACGUGGACGCUUUUAACCAAUCAUA
RNAcentral lists this long non-coding RNA (297 nucleotides) under Mytilus galloprovincialis (Mediterranean mussel). Lineage: Eukaryota; Metazoa; Mollusca; Bivalvia; Mytilida; Mytilidae. The record is from RNAcentral.